Non-coding RNA from Camelina sativa (false flax), 910 nucleotides. The record is from RefSeq and is a predicted model, not a curated record. NCBI's taxonomy places the organism in Eukaryota, Viridiplantae, Streptophyta, Magnoliopsida, Brassicales, Brassicaceae.
AUAUAUGCAUUUUUCCACUGAACGUCUUAUAUUUGCUAAGUCGAGGUUCUCUUUGCACCAUUUAUUCUAAUAUCCCAAAUUGUUAGCAGGUACUUUUUUACUCCAGUGGAUGUAAAGGAAGAUAGCGGGUUAGAGUUUUGAGAAGAUGAUGUUCAACAUAAUCAUCACAUGAUGAUCUCUCUUCUGGGUUUGUAAAUUAGAAGGAUUUAUUUAUACGUGGCCAUGAGAAGCCAUCUUCUUGAGAACACACUAUGGAUCUACCAACUGAUUCGCUAGGCCAAGAUGAAAUGGGAGCUGAGUAUGUUUUUGGAAGUCAACACCAUCCACAUCUCUUAUAGUUGAUAAUAAGAGCACUGAUGGGCACUUCUUAGGCAUUCAUUUCAACAUCAGAAUAGGUUGAAUAUAAUAACAAAAAGAAUUUGCAACAAUUCAUAGGCUCUAAUGAUAGUGACACGUUUGAAGCAUCUAACAAGAUGAAUGGGUAAGACCUUCUUUGGCGAUCGAUCUUCUCUUAGCCUUCUACUUUCAGAAUUGACUGCUUACUAUGUUGGUCAGUUGGUGGCAAUCGAUGAACACAGAAUUGCAGUUCAAGGCUUUGUGUGGAGUAUCAAUUCGUUUGACCAGUGGAGAGUUAAUCUAGGAACAGUUUUAUCUUCCGCUCUUCAUCUUCCUCUGAAUCUUAAAGUAGCUGCUGAAGCUGAGAAUUUACUAACAAAGUCUAUGUCCACUCUAGACACUUUUUCGCUUAAAGAAUGCCAUGUUCUUGCUCGGAAACAACAAACCAAACAAUUAUAGCUGAUUUGAGCCUUUUGUGAGAAUUUUAUCAUUGUGCUUAUCAAAAGAUAAAUUAGAUUUACAUUGUCAGGCUAUGUGUUUUCGUUAUAUGCAUUUUCCUAGAUUUUGAUCUGUU